GGACAAUCAGAAGUGGAUGCCAAUGGGGCAAUUCCCAAUGGGCUGAGUGACACCAGGGCCCUGCUGUUGGGUGCUGCUGUUCUGGGCGCAGACUGAGAAGAAUUCAACUUACAUUUUCAAUGGAUGGAGGAAAGGAAAUACCAAUUUUGUACAAAGUGUAAUCCACAAACAGCAACCCAGUACUUCAGGACGGCCCAGAGAACCUUGGAGGGACUUUCAGAGAAGCUUUUCUUCCUGAACUCUUGGGGAGUGUCUCUCCUUUCUGAAAGCUUUGUUUCUUACAAUGCCAGCCAGCGUCUUUUUGAAAGGCAGCCGCCUCAGGUUAUAAGAUGGAGUGUCUCUCAAACUUCAAUGUGCAGAAAAAUCACCUGGGGAUCUUAUUAAAAUGCAGAA
This 393-nucleotide long non-coding RNA is filed under the name Equus caballus (horse). RNAcentral's name for it is "lncRNA (ENSECAG00000048757.1)". Lineage: Eukaryota; Metazoa; Chordata; Mammalia; Perissodactyla; Equidae. The record is from RNAcentral.